This 714-nucleotide long non-coding RNA is filed under the name Penaeus japonicus. Its description in RNAcentral is "uncharacterized LOC122255759, transcript variant X2". Lineage: Eukaryota; Metazoa; Arthropoda; Malacostraca; Decapoda; Penaeidae. The record is from RNAcentral.
UAGCCACAAACCGAGAAAUAGCCUGGGCGGUCCCUCCCCGGCGUUUGAAAGGCGCGCCGGUCCGUCAAGCGCGGCCGAGGGUGCAGCACCCAGCGUGACGUCACACCAACGUUGCUCUCGGGAGAUCCUUCAUUUUAUUUCCGAGCUUGCGGUGAUUUUACUCCACCAUUCCGCCAUCCGGCCGUCGAUAUUGAUGGAUGAAUGCCGUCCCCAGCGAGAAGUGUCAGCGCGGGAGAGGCAGGGCCCCCAGCGAGGCGGCGAAAAACGGAAAUGAAAUAGACGGGUCGCGAUUCUGGCAUCGGUCGUCAGUCUAGUGGCGGCUCAGCUGUAAGUGCAAAGCCGUCUGCAACGUCAAGUGAAUUUUGCGUUUUUUUACGUUUAAUGUCAGUCCUUCUGCGUCAGACUACAGUGUUUGUGUACCAAGGGCCAAGGCGACGUCUCUAAAGGUAACGUGUGCCACAGUUUCCUCAGGUAUUUUUGUUUACGUUAUUUUUAUGUAGACACAUAGGUAAUGUAUACAGAAGCGUGUUUGUUUGUUUGUUUGUUUGUUUAUGCAUAGGUAUAGAACUGGAGUGUUGGAUGUUUAUAUAUUUGUUUGUUUAUGUAUUUAUUUAAUCUCUCCUCUUUGCCUAUUUUUUAAAAGCAUAUAUUCUCUUUUUCCUCGUCCCAUUUUCUGCUUGACAUCAUAUUCUUUCAACCACACAUCCUCAUCAU